Molecule: long non-coding RNA, 3653 nt
Organism: Corvus hawaiiensis (hawaiian crow)
Lineage: Eukaryota; Metazoa; Chordata; Aves; Passeriformes; Corvidae
Exons: 3
Source: RefSeq, a predicted model, not a curated record
CUCCAGCACAAGGAUCCUGAAAAUGUAGCAGGAUUAACUCGAAGUAAUCUUCCUCAACUUUUCCCCUUUUCUUUGCAAGGGGAGGGAGUGUGGGAUCAGGAUUUCAUGAAUGGGACUAGAACUCCAGGAGUGUAGAGAGUAGCCUGGCCUCUACUGUGAUCUUGGUCUUUUUCAGAAGACAACCUAUGAACUUUCUUCAGAAACUUCACAGGCUUCUUGAAUGAAGAAAGCCCAUCACUACCUUCAGCACACUUUUUGAAAGACUAGAUCAUGACGUCCUUGUGGCAGGGAAUCUCUUUUCUCCAUUUGUAUUUCAGCUGUUAAGAGAGCCCAUGGAUGCCACACAAAAGUGAUGAUGAAUAUUACAAGUCUACUAAAGUACUUUUUACAUUGUGAAGGAAAUGACAUUUGCCUGCUUCUAAUAAACCUUGAACCAUUUAUGGCAGUGUUAAAUAUGUUGCAUUCCACCUACAGGAGAACUGUGGCAGGAAGCAUCUCCAGCCCAGCAGAAGUCCUGGUAUUUCUCUCUUGAACUUUCUCUUCCCCUCAUGCCGACAGUGGGGUACAAUAAAACUGUUGCAAAACUGUGAAGUCACAAUAAACCAACCCAAACUACCAGAGCAAACAGAUUUCUAUUCCAGUGAGGCCAGGACUCUCUACAGCCCCAAGGAUGGGACUGACUGCAUUGAAUGGAGUAGGAAUUGGAUCCUGACUGCAGCUCUGAUGCAUACAAUCAUGUUCUUACAUUAAAUGUGCUGAAAGCAGUCACUUCUUGGUACUUCGAACAGUAGUGUUUCAAGGCUACACCAAAGUCCAAUGCCUUUAUUUCUUCUGGACUAGAGGAUAUUGUCAGAUGAUCAAGCACUCCUUAGAAUGUUAGCUGCAUUUGUCGACACAGAAAUCCUCAAGACUAGGAUAUCUGAAAUAUUUGUCAAGUCAGGGCAUGGGGGCUGGCAGUAUGCUUAAAAGUAGAGCAGAAAGCAGUGCCUUGCUGCAUCUUACCUAUGUGGAGGAGUGUGUCGAUUUAUCCAGAAAAAUUUCAGUAUGCAACUAUUUGGCUUUGUGCAAUGCAGAUUAUCCUGGAGAGGCAACAUCCAGACUGUUAUGCAUAACCUAGCAUGCUCAAGACCUUACUUGCCUACUUUACUUUGAGGUUAAGGUAAGCAUCAGAAUAGAUCAGAAGAUGUUCCUGAAUUCAAAAGUAUAUGGGACCUGAAAGGGAGCCAAUCCUGAUUCUUCUUGAAAGACAUGAGGACCUCUUUGAAAACCAUGGGAGCUUGAGUUGCAGACUUGUCUGGAAUGGUUUUGGAGUCCAUUCUUCACCACAACUGAAAUAAUCAGAAAGGACAGCAAAAUAGGUGAGCAGAGUUCACUGCCAUUGAACAGUUUUCUUUCCUACUGUUGGAACCAUGAACUGUCAGAGAAGACAGAGGGAGUGACAGAGAGAACUGACGCAGUGAGCAAGUCUUAGGACACAUGGCCUUCCUAUGUCACUGACACAGACUGCUGAGCAGAAGCACACCAAAAAGUAUUAAACAGGCAGUAGCUUACAUGCUGACCCAGAAGCUAGAAGAUAUGAGAGAAGGAUGUGAUGAUGGAAAUUUCAGGGGCUGUGGUUAAGAGGUGAAAGUGACUCAAGCUGAAUUAGGAUGUGCAGUAAGAGACUUGAAUACAGUAACCUCUUGAGAUCUCCAUCAUUGACUGCUGUCAGUAAAGAAUUUGUGGCCAGCAGAACUGGGAGAGCAUUUUGGAAGGUGCAUGAUGCUCCUGCCAGAUCUAUUCCCUCAAAAAUUGACCUCAGGGAGUAUCUGCCUUAGGUCUUGCAAGGUAGGUAUGACCAUCUGCGAAAAAGGUCUGUAACAAAAUUCAGUAGCUAUUAGUUGCAACAAAAAAGUAAAAUAACUUCCAUGCUUUCUGCCUCUGUCCAAAAUACACUUGAGAGUUUUGAAUGACGUUUUCUAUUCCACUUCCAGAUUCUUCUAGGAAGACCUCUGAACUGCUUGAUUAUAAUUGAUUUGUUCCUUAUACACCCUGUGGUAAAGGGUUUCUUGGCUAAACGAUCUCUAUGUUAAUAGGGAUCCCUGUUCCUCCAAUUUUAUCCCUGUUCCUCCAACUUUUUCCUUCUGCUGUCUGUUGCUAAUCAAAAAUCUUGAAUCCAUGUUGAUUUAGCUCUGCUUAUGAAAAAGAAAUGGAAUAUUUUGAAGGUAAAAUAAAAAAAAAAUGAGACAUGGCAAGUGGAAUCUCAGAUUAUUCAUAUCUUAAUCACCAAUACAACCUUGGCAAACAGAACUUCAGAAAAACAUAGAAAAUGGAUUCAGGCUAGAAUUUAACCUAGCUGCUGGUACAGGGUAAAUUGAAGCCAAUGAAAGACACGGAAAGAGAAAAAUUAUUACGACAAACUUUCUUCUUUGAGGAAUGAGAGAUGAACAAAUACUACAAAAAAUGUGUGGUCAAGGUUGACCAAGAAGUGAGGUACUUACUUUGAGGGAAAAAAGUACAUCAGCAGAAUUCCUACAGAACUCUUUACUAAAAUUGCUGUGAUGUCAACACCACCCACCUUCCCCUGGGAGAUUUCCACUCCACAGAAUGGGCUGGAAGGUCCUUUUAUAUGUGUCCUUGCACUAUUUACAAUGAAUCUGGUUUCUGUUGUAUAAAGACCACAAUAUUUAUUUCAAAAAUGAACCAGCCUUUGAGGUAGUUAUGGGAGCAAUUCUGCAAAACUACUUCAGAGGAGAUACAUUGAUGCUCUUGGAAAGAUCCUUUCUGGAGGUUUUGGAAAUAUGGUCAGUGUUUCUAUGAACAUAAGCAAUUAAUUCAUUGAAAGCAGUGGCUAAACAUCUUUAUUUUUGUGGAAUUUGACAUAAGAUUUUUGUGGGAUUCAUAGCUGGUCUAAAUCCCACUGCAUGCAAAUGGAUUUCUUUUGCAUAUGAUUUGCAAAUAGCAUAACUGCUAUGUGCAGACAUGCUUAAAAAUUCACUACUACUAACAUUCCUUCUAGAAAGUAAAAAUCCCAAACAAUUUCAACCACAGUUGUCUCAUCAGCGUUAGUUUAAAAUUCAGAACUUUGUACAGACAGCAGAAAAACUCUUUCUAGGCAUAUUUUUGCAGACAUAAAUUUACAACUUCUCUAACAAUUCAAAGGCUUUCAUUAAUUUCAAAUAUUUUUUUAGAAAAUGUUCAUCAAAUUAUGUGGAACAAUAUUGGUGAAAAUUUGAAGACUUUCAAUCUGAUACAUAAGUAACAUUUAUUUUAAUCUUUCCUAUUGAAUUUUAAAGAAUUAGAAUUUUCAGAAAAUGCUUGCCAAGCUCUGAAUAUAUUUUGCAGUUAUUAAUUUGAUGAGUAAAUUUGCUUGUUUUAUUUGAGAAAAUAAAAAUACAAAACCUGGUCUUACUUUCACAGAACUCCUUCUAAUUUCUAAAAUUAUACUGUUCAUUGAUAUGCUUUUAAAGACAGUUACAGUAGUAAUAAAUAUAAUGAAACUUACCGGCAACCUUCUGUUAUGUCAGUAAAAAUACAUGUUCUUUGACCAAACCACCAGUCCCAUUAAUUUUUAACUUCAAAUGUCAAAUUAAGAGUGUAUUGUGAGCUGGGAAUAAUAUGUUUUUCAUGUAAAGAUUAUUUUUAUACCACAAUGUUUACUGCUUGAAUAAAAC